Molecule: microRNA, 20 nt
Filed under: Tribolium castaneum (red flour beetle)
Lineage: Eukaryota; Metazoa; Arthropoda; Insecta; Coleoptera; Tenebrionidae
Description: tca-miR-3807-5p
Source: miRBase by way of RNAcentral
AUGGCGAUGAUGUGCGGCCA